This 24-nucleotide microRNA is filed under the name Gossypium raimondii (Peruvian cotton). RNAcentral describes it as "gra-miR8750". The record is from miRBase by way of RNAcentral. Lineage: Eukaryota; Viridiplantae; Streptophyta; Magnoliopsida; Malvales; Malvaceae.
UCUUAGUUGGCAUAUACUCAAGGA